UAAGGAAUAUUCCACAAUGGGCGCAAGCCUGAUGGAGCAACGCCGCGUGCAUGAUGAAGCCCUUCGGGGUGUAAAAUGCUUUUCGAGGGGAUGAUGCCAGACAGUACCCUCGGAAUAAGUCUCGGCUAACUACGUGCCAGCAGCCGCGGUAAUACGUAGGAGACGAGCGUUGUCCGGAAUCACUGGGCGUAAAGCGCGUGUAGGCGGAUGGGCAAGUCUGCUGUGAAAGCUCCCGGCUUAACUGGGAGAGGUCGGUGGAAACUGCCAAUCUGGAGGACGGUAGAGGUAGGUGGAAUUCCCGGUGUAGUGGUGAAAUGCGUAGAGAUCGGGAGGAACACCUGUGGCGAAGGCGGCCUACUGGGCCGGACCUGACGCUGAGACGCGAAGGCGUGGGGAGCGAAC
Molecule: ribosomal RNA, 402 nt
Filed under: uncultured bacterium
Lineage: Bacteria
Description: bacterial SSU rRNA
Rfam family: Bacterial small subunit ribosomal RNA
Source: RNAcentral